GUGGGGAAUAUUGGACAAUGGGGGAAACCCUGAUCCAGCAAUGCCGCGUGAGUGAAGAAGGCCUUAGGGUUGUAAAGCUCUUUCACCCGUGAAGAUGAUGACUGUAGCGGGACAAGAAGCUCCGGCUAACUCCGUGCCAGCAGCCGCGGUAAUACGGAGGGGGCUAGCGUUGCUCGGAAUUACUGGGCGUAAAGCGCGCGUAGGCGGUGCAUUUAGUCAGACGUGAAAGCCCAGGGCUUAACCCUGGAACUGCGUUUGAUACUGAUGCGCUAGAAUUCGAGAGAGGGUAGUGGAAUUUCCAGUGUAGAGGUGAAAUUCGUAGAUAUUGGAAAGAACACCAGUGGCGAAGGCGGCUACCUGGCUCGAUAUUGACGCUGAGGUGCGAAAGCGUGGGGAGCGAACAGGAUUAGAAACCCCGGUAGUCC
Molecule: ribosomal RNA, 425 nt
Filed under: uncultured bacterium
Lineage: Bacteria
Description: bacterial SSU rRNA
Rfam family: Bacterial small subunit ribosomal RNA
Source: RNAcentral